UUCUGCUUUCCUGCCACAGUUUGGGUCAUUCCCCAGGGUUCCCAGCCAGCCAAUGCCUGCUCGCAUUUCUUGGCCGGCCCCACCCCAAGGUGUCUCACCCUCACUCACUGCUCCCUCUUCACAUAUCUUUGGGCAGCUGCAAGGGGCAGGUUGCUGAGAGGGUAGGGGCUUUUCCCCCAUGGUUCCCUGCUGUUUCUUUGUGGCUAUGCUGGCCCCUCUGGUGUUAGCCCUGGAACAGUCUCCAGACAUGGUGAUAAAAGAAGGCCAGUCCGUGAAAGUGGAAUGUUCCAAGAAGAAAUCCUCCAGCUCAGCUAUGUACUGGUUCAUGCUGCCUUCAGAGAAGAAUUCCAGUCUGACCCUACUGGCUUCUGCAAUACAAGGCAGUAAUGCAGCUGUGGAGAAGGAGUUUGAGAACCAUUUCAAGAGCAGCAAUAUAAAAGGAGACAGUAUCACCCUCUCAAUAGACCAUGCCUUUCUCAAUCACUCUGGCACAUAUUUCUGUGCUGAGAGUGAACACAGUGGUGAGGCUGCUGAGGGAGCUGAGCACAAACUUCUCCCUGCACAAACAGGACCUGCUUUCCACCUCAUGGGUGCUGCAGGAGGCAGGGUGAUCUCUUCUCACUCAUUAGCUCCUCUGCUUCCCAGCCUUCCCUUUUUCCUCUUCUCACAUGCUGAGAGUUUAUUUGUCCUGCCUUCUCUCCUUGCCACUCCACGCCUCCCUUUUUGUUACUCUUGGUUUAACUCUUACUUGCAAUACACUUAACUUCUGCCAA
This is a long non-coding RNA of Corvus hawaiiensis (hawaiian crow), 773 nucleotides long. RefSeq lists it as uncharacterized. Lineage: Eukaryota; Metazoa; Chordata; Aves; Passeriformes; Corvidae. The transcript is spliced from 2 exons. The record is from RefSeq and is a predicted model, not a curated record.